AAGUAAUGUGAAUUGCAGAAUUCAGUGAAUCAUCGAAUCUUUGAACGCACAUUGCGCCCUCUGGUAUUCCGGAGGGCAUGCCUGUUCGAGCGUCAUUUCAACCCUCAAGCCUGGCUUGGUGAUGGGGCACUGCUUUCGUCCAGAAAGCAGGCCCUGA
RNAcentral lists this ribosomal RNA (157 nucleotides) under Diaporthe melonis var. brevistylospora. RNAcentral describes it as "5.8S ribosomal RNA". The stretch from base 1 to 95 matches the Rfam family "5.8S ribosomal RNA", at positions 60 to 154 of the family's 154-position model. From Rfam's summary of the family: 5.8S ribosomal RNA (5.8S rRNA) is a component of the large subunit of the eukaryotic ribosome. It is transcribed by RNA polymerase I as part of the 45S precursor that also contains 18S and 28S rRNA. Lineage: Eukaryota; Fungi; Ascomycota; Sordariomycetes; Diaporthales; Diaporthaceae. The record is from RNAcentral.